CNNUNGNGCGCUACCUGGUUGAUCCUGCCAGUAGUCAUAUGCUUGUCUCAAAGAUUAAGCCAUGCAUGUCUAAGUAUAAGCAACUUAUACUGUGAAACUGCGGAUGGCUCAUUAAAUCAGUUAUCGUUUAUUUGAUGGUGUUCCCCUUACUACAUGGAUAACCGUAGUAAUUCUAGAGCUAAUACAUGCGUUUUAAGGCUCGACUCAGCGAUGGGAAGGGCUGUAUUUAUUAGAUAAAAAACCAACCGGUCGUGCUCGCAAGGGUGCGGCUGUUUGCAUUCUAGGUGAUUCAUAAUAACUUGUUCGGAGCUCAUGGCCUUUGCGCCGGAGCCAGAUCAUUCAAAUUUCUGCCCUAUCAGCUUUCGAUGGUAGUGUAGUGGACUACCAUGGCUGUUACGGGUGACGGAGAAUUAGGGUUCGAUUCCGGAGAGGGAGCCUGAGAAACGGCUACCACAUCUAAGGAAGGCAGCAGGCGCGCAAAUUACCCAAUCCUGACACAGGGAGGUAGUGACAAUAAAUAACAAUACCGGGCGUUUCGACGUUUGGUAAUUGGAAUGAGGACAAUUUAAAUCCCUUAUCGAGGAUCCAUUGGAGGGCAAGUCUGGUGCCAGCAGCCGCGGUAAUACCAGCUCCAAUAGCGUAUAUUAAAGUUGUUGCAGUUAAAAAGCUCGUAGUUGGAUGUGUGGCUUUUAGUGGAGCUGCCCCCCAGCGUUGCCCUUAGCGGUCGUUGGUGGGGUGGUGAGCGUGUCGGGAGCAAUCUCGGCGCGUUCGUAUCCCGGUCAUCUUUUCGGGUGUUCACAUCUGCCCUUCACUGGUGUCGGGUGUGCGCUCUCGAUCGGUUACUUUGAAAAAAUUAGAGUGCUCAAAGCAGGCUUAUCGCUGUGUAUACAUUAGCAUGGAAUAACAAAAUAGGACUCCGUUGUCUAUUUUGUUGGGUGUUUCAGAUGGGGAGUAAUGAUUGAUAGGGACAGUUGGGGGUGCUCGUAUUCUUUGGCCAGAGGUGAAAUUCUAUGAUUCGGUGAAGACGGACUCAGGCGACAGCAUUCACCAAGGAUGUCUUCUUUAAUCAAGAACGAAAGUUGGGGGAUCGAAGAUGAUCAGAUACCGUCGUAGUCUCAACCAUAAACGAUGCCGACUCGAGAUGGGCGAUCGUUUCAACACGACUUUGCCUGCAUCGUAUGAGAAAUCAUAAGUCUUUGGGUUCCGGGGGGAGUAUGGUCGCAAGGCUGAAACUUAAAGGAAUUGACGGAAGGGCACCACCAGGAGUGGAGCCUGCGGCUUAAUUUGACUCAACACGGGGAAACUUACCAGGUCCAGACAUUAUGAGGAUUGACAGAUGGAAGAUCUUUCUUGAUUUAAUGGGUGGUGGUGCAUGGCCGUUCUUAGUUGGUGGAGUGAUCUGUCUGGUUAAUUCCGUUAACGAACGAGACCUCAGCCUGCUAAAUAGCUGCGGUCAGUCGGUCCUUUUUUGUACCGCUGGCUUGCGUUCACAGCUUCUUAGAGGGACUUUUGGUGUUUAGCCAACGGAGGUUUGAGGCAAUAACAGGUCUGUGAUGCCCUUUAGAUGUUCUGGGCCGCACGCGCGCUACACUGUUGCUUUCAGCGAGUUUACAACCUUGGCCGAUAGGUCCGGGUAAUCUGGGGAAACGGCAACGUGAUGGGGCUAGAUUCUUGCAAUUAUGAAUCUUCAACGAGGAAUUCCUAGUAAACGCAUGUCAUCAGCGUGCAUUGAUUACGUCCCUGCCCUUUGUACACACCGCCCGUCGCUCCUACCGAUUGAAUGGUCCGGUGAGCUCUUUGGACUGGCCGCCGAUGGGGAUUUCUCCGCCGGUGGCCAGAAAGCUGCGCAAACCUUAUCAUUUAGAGGAAGGAGAAGUCGUAACAAGGUUUCCGUAGGUGAACCUGCAGAAGGAUCA
RNAcentral lists this ribosomal RNA (1916 nucleotides) under Lapot gusevi. RNAcentral describes it as "SSU rRNA". It matches the Rfam family "Eukaryotic small subunit ribosomal RNA". The record is from RNAcentral. Lineage: Eukaryota; Aquavolonida.